UAGGGAAUCUUCCACAAUGGACGCAAGUCUGAUGGAGCAACGCCGCGUGAGUGAAGAAGGCUUUCGGAUCGUAAAGCUCUGUUGUUGGUGAAGAAGGAUAGAGGCAGUAACUGGUCUUUAUUUGACGGUAAUCAACCAGAAAGUCACGGCUAACUACGUGCCAGCAGCCGCGGUAAUACGUAGGUGGCAAGCGUUGUCCGGAUUUAUUGGCGUAAAGCGAGCGCAGGCGGAAUGAUAAGUCUGAUGUGAAAGCCAACGGCUCAACCGUGGAAGUGCAUCGGAAACUUUCAUUCUGUAGUGCAGAAGAGGAGAGUGGAAUUCCAUGUGUAGCGAUGGAAUGCGUAGAUAUAUGGAAGAAAACCAGUGGCGAAGGCGGGUCGCUGGUCUGCAACUGACGCUGAGGCUCGAAAGCAUGGGUAGCGAACAGG
Molecule: ribosomal RNA, 428 nt
Filed under: bacterium
Lineage: Bacteria
Description: partial 16S ribosomal RNA
Rfam family: Bacterial small subunit ribosomal RNA
Source: RNAcentral